Long non-coding RNA from Dromaius novaehollandiae (emu), 605 nucleotides. RefSeq lists it as uncharacterized. The record is from RefSeq and is a predicted model, not a curated record. Lineage: Eukaryota; Metazoa; Chordata; Aves; Casuariiformes; Dromaiidae. The transcript has 4 exons.
GCGGGGCAUGGCGGGAGCGGCGCGCCGCUACUUAAGGCGCUGCGCGAAGGCCCCUGGUCUCUCUGCGCUGGCGCUGCGGAGUCGCAGCAACCUAAUAUUUAAAAAUGUUGGACAGGUGAAUGAUCACACCUAAAUUGGAAGCAAUGCUCAGAACUUCCUAAGAAUGAAAACACCUUCUGCUAGAAGAGCUGAAAUGUGUUGGUACUUACCAACUGCCUGGAAUGCACUUCAUGGAUUUUUUUUGAAGUGUUUGUGAUAUGGGAUAAACAUCUUGAGGGAAGAGUUCCUUGUAAAUUUAUCAGUCUCCAGGAAAGGACACCAGCAUGUGCAAGGAAUUGGAAUUUGGUAUUAAACAUCUCAUGAUGUGAUGAAUGGCUGAUUACUGACUUCAUCUUGGAUGGCUUCCACUGCACUCUGCAAUAUCUUAUCUUGAGGAUGGGAUUGAGACAAGUAAUGGCUAAAACUACACAACUUCAAUGGUUGUGUUUAAAUAUGCAUCUAGCCAUUUGGUCAAACUGAGGUUUCAUAAUAAAAAUAAAACCUCUUUAAUCUAUUUCUAUGGCUGUGUGUAUUAACUGAAAUAAAACAUGAAGAUGCUACCAGCA